Molecule: transfer RNA, 75 nt
Filed under: Acropora cervicornis
Lineage: Eukaryota; Metazoa; Cnidaria; Anthozoa; Scleractinia; Acroporidae
Description: tRNA-Ala
Rfam family: tRNA
About the family: Transfer RNA (tRNA) molecules are approximately 80 nucleotides in length. Their secondary structure includes four short double-helical elements and three loops (D, anti-codon, and T loops). Further hydrogen bonds mediate the characteristic L-shaped molecular structure. tRNAs have two regions of fundamental functional importance: the anti-codon, which is responsible for specific mRNA codon recognition, and the 3' end, to which the tRNAs corresponding amino acid is attached (by aminoacyl-tRNA synthetases). tRNAs cope with the degeneracy of the genetic code in two manners: having more than one tRNA (with a specific anti-codon) for a particular amino acid; and 'wobble' base-pairing, i.e. permitting non-standard base-pairing at the 3rd anti-codon position.
Source: RNAcentral
GGCCUGAUAGCUCAACAGGUAGAGCACUGCACUGGCAUCGCAGAGGUCAGGGUUAAAGUCCCUGCAUUCAGGCCC